RNAcentral lists this ribosomal RNA (1342 nucleotides) under uncultured bacterium. Its description in RNAcentral is "bacterial SSU rRNA". It matches the Rfam family "Bacterial small subunit ribosomal RNA", at positions 28 to 1381 of the family's 1533-position model. The record is from RNAcentral.
GAUGAACGCUAGCGGCAGGCUUAACACAUGCAAGUCGAGGGGUAGAGUAGCAAUACUUGAGACCGGCGCACGGGUGCGUAACGCGUAUGCAAUCUACCUUUUACAGAGGGAUAGCCCAGAGAAAUUUGGAUUAAUACCUCAUAGUAUUACGACCUGGCAUCAGGAUGUAAUUAAAGUCACAACGGUAAAAGAUGAGCAUGCGUCCCAUUAGCUAGUUGGUAAGGUAACGGCUUACCAAGGCUACGAUGGGUAGGGGUCCUGAGAGGGAGAUCCCCCACACUGGUACUGAGACACGGACCAGACUCCUACGGGAGGCAGCAGUGAGGAAUAUUGGACAAUGGGCGCAAGCCUGAUCCAGCCAUGCCGCGUGCAGGAUGACGGUCCUAUGGAUUGUAAACUGCUUUUGCACAGGAAGAAACACCCCCUCGUGAGGGGGCUUGACGGUACUGUGAGAAUAAGGAUCGGCUAACUCCGUGCCAGCAGCCGCGGUAAUACGGAGGAUCCAAGCGUUAUCCGGAAUCAUUGGGUUUAAAGGGUCCGUAGGCGGUUCGGUAAGUCAGUGGUGAAAGCCCAUCGCUCAACGGUGGAACGGCCAUUGAUACUGCCAGACUUGAAUUAUUAGGAAGUAACUAGAAUAUGUAGUGUAGCGGUGAAAUGCUUAGAGAUUACAUGGAAUACCAAUUGCGAAGGCAGGUUACUACUAAUAUAUUGACGCUGAUGGACGAAAGCGUGGGUAGCGAACAGGAUUAGAUACCCUGGUAGUCCACGCCGUAAACGAUGGAUACUAGCUGUUGGGAGCAAUCUCAGUGGCUAAGCGAAAGUGAUAAGUAUCCCACCUGGGGAGUACGUUCGCAAGAAUGAAACUCAAAGGAAUUGACGGGGGCCCGCACAAGCGGUGGAGCAUGUGGUUUAAUUCGAUGAUACGCGAGGAACCUUACCAAGGCUUAAAUGUAGAUUGACCGGACUGGAAACAGUUUUUUCGCAAGACAAUUUACAAGGUGCUGCAUGGUUGUCGUCAGCUCGUGCCGUGAGGUGUCAGGUUAAGUCCUAUAACGAGCGCAACCCCUGUUGUUAGUUGCCAGCGAGUCAUGUCGGGAACUCUAACAAGACUGCCAGUGUAAACUGUGAGGAAGGUGGGGAUGACGUCAAAUCAUCACGGCCCUUACGCCUUGGGCUACACACGUGCUACAAUGGCCGGUACAGAGAGCAGCCACUGGGUGACCAGGAGCGAAUCUACAAAACCGGUCACAGUUCGGAUCGGAGUCUGCAACUCGACUCCGUGAAGCUGGAAUCGCUAGUAAUCGGAUAUCAGCCAUGAUCCGGUGAAUACGUUCCCGGGCCU